UGGGGAAUAUUGGACAAUGGGCGGAAGCCUGAUCCAGCCAUGCCGCGUGUGUGAAGAAGGCCUUUUGGUUGUAAAGCACUUUAAGCGAGGAGGAGGCUACUUGGAUUAAUACUCUAGGAUAGUGGACGUUACUCGCAGAAUAAGCACCGGCUAACUCUGUGCCAGCAGCCGCGGUAAUACAGAGGGUGCGAGCGUUAAUCGGAUUUACUGGGCGUAAAGCGUGCGUAGGCGGCUUCUUAAGUCGGAUGUGAAAUCUCUGAGCUUAACUUAGGAAUUGCAUUCGAUACUGGGAAGCUAGAGUAUGGGAGAGGAUAGUAGAAUUCCAGGUGUAGCGGUGAAAUGCGUAGAGAUCUGGAGGAAUACCGAUGGCGAAGGCAGCCAUCUGGCCUAAUACUGACGCUGAGGUACGAAAGCAUGGGGAGCAAACAGG
RNAcentral lists this ribosomal RNA (430 nucleotides) under bacterium. RNAcentral's name for it is "partial 16S ribosomal RNA". It matches the Rfam family "Bacterial small subunit ribosomal RNA", at positions 355 to 776 of the family's 1533-position model. The record is from RNAcentral.